Molecule: long non-coding RNA, 2363 nt
Filed under: Volvox carteri
Lineage: Eukaryota; Viridiplantae; Chlorophyta; Chlorophyceae; Chlamydomonadales; Volvocaceae
Description: long non-coding RNA (VCAR_LNC003096)
Source: RNAcentral
CGCACAAUAAAAACGAAAGUUUUGAAAGUUCUUCUUGAAGUCCUUUUGAAUCCCCAAUGACCCAAUGGCCCCGGGGUCGUGCGGCCCUCUUUCCCUAGGCUCCUCCCCCCCCCUCCGGGACCCGGAGCCGAAGAAGCGGUUACAGAUUACUGACAGACGGGAGCCACUUGUCCGUUGGUGUCCCGUCAGUGUCGCCCGCAGGGGGCUGCAUGGGGGUGAUAUGUGUGCGGUCUGGCAUCGCCCUCACCCAACUAACCCGCUGGGGGCAGGAUACAUUGACGUGCGCAAGAUGAUGUACACACAUUUGUGCAUGUGUGUACACAUAAAUAUAUGCACAUACAUACAGACUGGUAGUACAUUAUCUUGAAUUAUUUACAGGGUUCAGGGGGUUUGCAAAAAAGUGUACACACACGUACACACAGACAUAAUACAUGUACAUGCACACACACGCACUGCCCUCACAGCUCGGAAAGGUACACAACCCCUCCCUUACCUUGACCAAUCAACACCUAAAGCUCAAAAAAUAAUCAGCUCGCGGAGGAGGACAUUGAGGAGAUGGAGGACCGUCACAGAGCCGAAUAGGAAAAGUCGGAUGUUGAGAAGCGACAAAGCAACCCGGGUAUUCAGAGGUCCACACCACCACCAUCACCACCACCACCACCACCACCACCAUCGCCACUACAACGAUGCGGUUCAUGAUGACUUCUUCCCCCCCCCCAGAACCCCGCAGCUGCCGAGAGCACACUGGCUCCGCCCCACCUUCCGCCAUCGGCAGUGGCGGUGGGGGUGGGCGGAUCCACGUCGCCCGGCACAUACCCGGCCGCACCUCCCUACCAAGCUGGGCGGUGGAGGUAGCGGCCUCGCAAGGUGAAAGGCGGUGCCGAGGUCAUUAAGCGGGUGCUCGCCGGCAGGGUUGCUUCACCUGCGUGGGCGUGAAUGGUAACAACACAGGCAUACAUACAUACAUGCACACGCACACACACACACACACAUCACCCGUAGUGGACGUGCCAGCCGGCAGCAGUAACAGAAACAGUAGCAGCAGCACCGGGUCCAUGCACCGCGUGGUGAUGGUGUGGUGGUGGUGGUGGCGCGGUUGAGGGCGGGCGAAUGGCAGGGGGCCAGGGCGGGGGAAGAGGGGAGGCUGUAGGUUGGUGUGGGGGCUGGUUUGGAGGAGGGUUGCCCAGACAUCCACCAUAAGCCCGAUGAAUGAGCUCUUGAAAGCUCUUGAAUGAGAUCAGGGGUGCUUAUGGAUGCCUGUAUUAACAAGAGCUUGUCCGUCUGUUUGCCUGUCUGUCUGUCUGUCUGUCUGUCUCUUUGUCUAUCUGCACUGUAACAGUGCAAAUGAUUGUGACGAGGUGGCGGCAGUGGGAGACUGGCCCCGCGCACGGCCUGGCAGGGAGCGAAGGUACGGCAGUCCGCUGGCAGGAUAGCAGCGAGGCGGUAGGUGGCGUAUGAAUAAGCGUAGGGGUUGCGGGUGCGGCUCACCUUCCCGGUAUGUGGAGAGUAGCCCCUACGCUAAGUACAUGCUAACCGGCGCGCUUGCUGCGAGUAGGAUGCCCAGAGGCAGCUGUGGAGUGUUGGGCCGGGGGCCUGUAUGCGCAGCUGUACUGGAAGGCUUGCUCGCAUGACGCCGGCUGCCCCAUGCAUUGCCGGAAUGCAUUACUGAUGCCUCGUGCAGUUGCCUGGCGCCGGACGGGCAAGAAGCGGGCCGGUUUAAAAUAGAAUCGCGAUGCCCGUGCAAGCAAGGCAUCAUGUAGGGCAAGCUUAGCAAGACUCCAAUAUGACGUUAUAGCAUCGUUCAUGGAUGGCAGCGCAGGUUCCAGUUUGACGCUUUUGGAACCCAGGGCUCUGUCAAAAGCAACACCACCUUACCUCCACAAGGCCAAUAAUCAAUCACAGGACCAUUGGCAGCUCGAGAAACUGUUCUUAGGGUAUUUGCCACGUUAUUCUAGUGCUCGGGCGCAGCAAAUGUGACGAACGGUUCAGACGCUUACGAGGCAAAGAAAUGCGCUCAAGAUGAGUUGAGAAGCUCUUAACACAGGCUUAUUUAGGUAUAUGCCUUAUGCACUUUGCUUUCUUUUAACAUCUUGGCUCUCCGAUCGUUUCUAUUCCGUACGUACACCCUUAAUAAUUAUAACGCUACCUGCAUGCGACUCUCCAAAGAAAUGUACGCACCUUUUCCCCAAUAUAUUUUUGAUCUACACCGGGCUUACAUUUGUCCACGGUGCUAAAGGACGCGACCUUCGUGUUUCGUUGUCGACUACAUGUUUAGCAUCAAAAUGAGGGAUCGUAACAUGUUAUUUUUAAAGAGCAUUAUACUAUGGACUGGAGAGUCGUUCAUGCUAAGACUUUGAUUACUU